AAAAAGCUAGUUUAAGUAAAACUUUUGGUUUCGACCCAAAAUAUUUUGGUAAUUACCCCAAAGCUUUUGU
RNAcentral lists this transfer RNA (70 nucleotides) under Asterias amurensis (Northern Pacific seastar). RNAcentral describes it as "tRNA-Arg". It matches the Rfam family "tRNA". Rfam says of the family: Transfer RNA (tRNA) molecules are approximately 80 nucleotides in length. Their secondary structure includes four short double-helical elements and three loops (D, anti-codon, and T loops). Further hydrogen bonds mediate the characteristic L-shaped molecular structure. tRNAs have two regions of fundamental functional importance: the anti-codon, which is responsible for specific mRNA codon recognition, and the 3' end, to which the tRNAs corresponding amino acid is attached (by aminoacyl-tRNA synthetases). tRNAs cope with the degeneracy of the genetic code in two manners: having more than one tRNA (with a specific anti-codon) for a particular amino acid; and 'wobble' base-pairing, i.e. permitting non-standard base-pairing at the 3rd anti-codon position. Lineage: Eukaryota; Metazoa; Echinodermata; Asteroidea; Forcipulatida; Asteriidae. The record is from RNAcentral.